GAUGUAGCCAAGUGGAUCAAGGCAGUGGAUUCUGAAUCCACC
This 42-nucleotide transfer RNA is filed under the name Chuquiraga ulicina subsp. ulicina. RNAcentral describes it as "partial tRNA-His". Lineage: Eukaryota; Viridiplantae; Streptophyta; Magnoliopsida; Asterales; Asteraceae. The record is from RNAcentral.